CUGGAAUGCAAGAUGUUUUGUUAAACUCAGUCUCUCUUAGGAAUAGCAUCCUCAAAGCCAAAUCACUCCCAUUAGCAAUUGCCAUGAGACUGACUUGUUUAUUUAUCAGCAGUUAAUUCCUUCACUCCUCUCACAUGAAGCUAAGAAAUCAGUUUGCUAAAGAGAUGAAUACGUAUUUUUUGGAGUGAGGCAGCCCAGGCAAGAUACCACUUCCUGCUUUCUUUUCCAUAUUUGUUAAUGUUCUUUUAUUAGCACAGUACUAACUUUUCACAAAACAAAGAUCAGAUGGGCAGGCUGAUGCAUGCCUAGUGAUUGCGCCCCGGAGUACAUCAAUUCCUUUAACUUAAAGGACAGGAAAUUUUUGGCAUUGUGAAAAGAGGUCUGUAGGUGAUUUCCUGAUUGUGCAUCUCCAGAAUUGCUACUGAAAAUUAAUCUACAUUCACAAUUAGGUCUUGCAUUCCAUUCUCUUGCGAAAAUGAUAGCAGAGACCUCUCAUCCCCAUUAUUUUCUGUUUUCUUCUGGCAAAGGAUUAGUAUUUCUGUAGGAAUCAGAGUCCUGUCCUUAUGUACCCUGAUAGCCUCGAAGUCUACUUGAAAGCCACAGACUUGCGUUGAACAAGCCAUGUCAACAGGAUGUGUUAGCUCAGUGUGUACUUCAGGGGCUUUCUUACUGUGUGACAACCACACGAGGUAAGUGCUCUACUUGCAGUGCAGUUGUUUUGUAUAAAAAGAAAAAGACCUGAGCUGCCAUUGGUUGUCAUUGCUCUAUAUAGAAAUACUUCCUGGCCAGAAGUUGCUGGAUACCAACAAGCAGUGUGAGGGAGUAACCGGGAUAAUUCAGGACAAAAAUGUAAGAGAGACCAGAAAAAAACUGGGCACGGGAAAGGGAAUGCAGGGAACAGUGCCCGUGUAAACAGGCAGGGUGUGUCUUCUGGUAUGCUUUUUUCCUAACAGUGGAGAACCUGGGGCUGACGCUGACAUGAAGCAUGCCAGUAAAUGUAACACCUGAAGAAAGAGUACACAUGCGAGUCACAAAAGCUUUUGUAAGCUAAAAUUGUUUGCUUUAGCUGCAGGAAGCAGAACUGUGGCACACAGCCAUUUUGCCCUGAUUUUUUCUGUGUUUUUCAACAGAAAAGUCAUCUCCUCUAACAGUUGUGUGCGUGUGAUUCCUGCACUGAAACUGGCUGGGAUGCUGUCAGGAUAAGAAGAUGCAGUUACAUGGCUAGGAGAAAGUAUCAGCAUACAUGAGACUUGACCCCACAGUGACCUGCUUGCACAAGCAGCCUCAGAUUUCUCUGAAGCCUUUAGGUCGAUUGUUCAGUCUGCCCUUGUUGGAACUGGGUUUGGCGCGUUUUAGGAACAAUGUGUUUAGUUUGAGCUGUCACCACCCUGGUUAGCAUUGUCCUGAUGUUAUGAAAGGUGGAAUGACUGGGAAGCCAGGGGAGCACCUGACCAAGAUGAAUCAUUGUGGAACGAUAGUGUAACUUCCAGGAAAGACAGAAGCCAUCACAGAACAGAGCAGGCAGGGAGCGGAGGAGGACACCGUGAGAAAGAAAUAAUUAUGGCAAAAGUAAAAGAAUGCUCUCAACUACUUGUUCAGUCUAAUUGCAUCCUUACAAAUAUGAGCUCAGUGGAAAAAAUAUGGCAGAGAUUCAUUACAGGACAUCUGCUUGGUGAAGUCAUUUUUCUAGUGCACUGCUGGUCUGUUCAAGCCGUAAUACUCUGCUCUUUUGUCCUUAAGAAAUAUCACUGAAAGAAGAUGAUGAAGAAAGAAAAAAUGUUUUAAGAAAAUCAUUGAUAACUCGCAGCUCGAUUAUACUCAACAACUGAAUCAGAAACUGGAUGGCAAAUACAAUUUGUAAUACCAUGUGUUGGCCAAGUCCAUCAGAAAUGAUUGAUGUCUCAUCAUCAUGGUUGGGUACCACAGGAUCCAACAAGGUGCCAGAGUUUAGGAGGACCGGAGGCUGAACUGGCUGUGAGUAGGUUUCUUCCAGAAAAAUGUCUGAGAGAAAAAGGAAGGGAUGUGCUGCUGUUCUCCUGGAUGGGACAAAGAUAUCCUCAUGUAGGAAACAGUGUUCAUCCCUAUCUCAAACAGACACGUUUGUUGGAAUAGAGUACUUAAAUCUGUGCAUAGACAUAGAUGGAAACCAGCAGUCCUAGCAUGGUUUAUAGGAAUUACAGAUCAUCCUGAGUGCAAUCACACGGCAUGUGCAAGACAACCAGGGAAUCAGGCCCAGCCAACAUGGGUUCAUGAAAGGCAGGUCGUGCUUGACCAACCUCAUCUCCUCCUAUGACAAAGUGACCUACCUGGUUCAACAAGACCAAGUGCUGGAUCCUGAACAUCGGUCACAACAACCCCAAGCAACAGUAUAGACCUGGGGCAGGGUGGCUGGAAGGCUACGCAGAAAAAAAGGAUCUGGUGAUGUUAGUUGAUGUUCAGCUGAACAUGAGCCAGCAGUGUGCCCAGGUGGCCAAAAAGGCCAAUGGCAUCCAGGGUUGCAUCAGAAAUAGAGCAGCCAGCGGGAGCAGGGAAGUGGUUUUCCCUCUAUCAGCUCUGGUGAGGUUGCAUCUCAAGUACUAAGUUCAGCUUUGAGCUCUCACUAUGAGUAUGUCACUGAGGCCCUGGAGCGUGUCCAGAAAGGGGCAACAAAGCUGUGAAGGGUGUGGAGCGCAAGUCUUAUGGGGAACAGCUGAGGGAACUGGGAUUGUUCAGUCUGGAGAAGAGAAGGCUCAGGGGGGACCUUUUCACCCUCUACAACUCCCUGAAAGGAGGUUGUGAUGUGAUGGGAGUCAGCCUCUUCUCCCAGGUAACAGCAAUAGGAUGAGAGGGAAUGGCCUCAAGUUGUUCCAGCGGAGGUUCAGGUGGGCAUUAGGAAGAUCUCUGAAAGAGUGGAGAUGCACUGGCACAGGCUGCCCAAGGAAGUGGUGGAGUCACUGGCCAUGGAGAUGUUCAAGAAAUGUGGAGAUGUGGUACUUAGGAACAUCGUUUAGUGGGCAGUAUUAGAGGUAAGUUGGACUUAGAUGAUCUUAGUGGUCUUUUCCAACCAUUAUGCUUCUAUGAUUACGUGAACGCAUGAAAAAAGCAAGUAGAAGGAGAUUUCACCAACACUUCCAUCAGCACAUGAGCCACACUGCUCCAAGUGCUUUCUUUCCUUAACAAUUCAGUUUCUUUUUUUCGCUGUUGUUUUUCCCAUGACUGAGAAGCA
Molecule: long non-coding RNA, 3205 nt
Filed under: Gallus gallus (chicken)
Lineage: Eukaryota; Metazoa; Chordata; Aves; Galliformes; Phasianidae
Description: long non-coding RNA NONGGAT009258
Source: RNAcentral